UGGGGAAUAUUGCACAAUGGGCGCAAGCCUGAUGCAGCCAUGCCGCGUGUGUGAAGAAGGCCUUCGGGUUGUAAAGCACUUUCAGCGGGGAGGAAGGCGCUAAGGUUAAUAACCUUGGCGAUUGACGUUACCCGCAGAAGAAGCACCGGCUAACUCCGUGCCAGCAGCCGCGGUAAUACGGAGGGUGCAAGCGUUAAUCGGAAUUACUGGGCGUAAAGCGCACGCAGGCGGUCUGUCAAGUCGGAUGUGAAAUCCCCGGGCUCAACCUGGGAACUGCAUUCGAAACUGGCAGGCUAGAGUCUUGUAGAGGGGGGUAGAAUUCCAGGUGUAGCGGUGAAAUGCGUAGAGAUCUGGAGGAAUACCGGUGGCGAAGGCGGCCCCCUGGACAAAGACUGACGCUCAGGUGCGAAAGCGUGGGGAGCAAACAGG
Molecule: ribosomal RNA, 429 nt
Filed under: Chloroflexota bacterium
Lineage: Bacteria; Bacillati; Chloroflexota
Description: Chloroflexi bacterium partial 16S ribosomal RNA
Rfam family: Bacterial small subunit ribosomal RNA
Source: RNAcentral